Molecule: long non-coding RNA, 1785 nt
Organism: Rhododendron vialii
Lineage: Eukaryota; Viridiplantae; Streptophyta; Magnoliopsida; Ericales; Ericaceae
Exons: 3
Source: RefSeq, a predicted model, not a curated record
ACAUCAUGCAGAUAUCUGCAAGAAUAACCACUGGUGCAGUAAGAAUCUUUUUGUCCUAUACAUGAGUAGAAAAAAAUCAUGUACGUUAUAGCGAGAAAGUCACUUAUAUAAGGCAGGAAAAUACAUAAAAGAAAAAAAGGCAACACUUGGAAGUGUCUUACAUCUCUCAAAGAUGUAAGGAAUCCUCAUCACUAAUAUCACAUAGGAAGCCCAUUUAAAAAAUGCAACACUUAGUAAAGUACUCUGAUGCAGGCCGACAUUUAAUUAUUCUAGAAAUAUAGAAAUUUUGGUUUCUUAUUUUGAAAUUAGUAUUUUAUUAGCAAUCUUUCCUUUUUAGCAUAAAUUGCCAAGAACUAGGUUUUAUUAAUUAGGUUGAUUCUAUUUCCCUUUUAAUUUUUUCCUUGUUCUCCAAGACAUAGAUUCUCUAGUUCAUACUUGUUCGUAGUUACUUUGUGCAAAAAGUUUCGUUUGUCAUACGCUUCCCUGCAUCAAACUCCCAGUCUUCAAUUACAAAUAAGAUGUCAGAGAUCUUCUCGAUAGUUGGGACCACAACACUAGAACCAGUAUACAUGUUGCAAACGUUAUUCUCUGUUGUGAAAUCAAAACUUCAAAAAUCCUUUGACUUGUAACAAUUAAAUCUUUUCUGUACUAGAUGACAUCACCAAAGUCAAUCAUAUUAUCAACAUAAGGAAAGGGAGAAUGGACUUGGAGAAGAGAAGUGAGAGUAAAAUCACAAGCAUUUCUCUUAUCUUAAAAAUUGCUCAAAACAGACAAUAUCAUACUGCAAAUCCAUCCUUGUACAAACAACAUGCAUGUUACUGCAACAUCACAUCUGAGGUAGAAAGCUUCUGUAGUCCUCCACAUUACCCAACUAUUGGUUUCUCUUUCUUUUUUCACCCGGGGUAUCCAACUCUUGUUAGCCCUAGAAGUUAAGAAAUCACCAUCCCACGGAGUCAUCGAAGUGUUUUCCGCAAAACAUCAUUGAGCAAGAGGAGACAUCAUAACUCUUUUCCCUAUCGAAAUUAGCAAUAGCACCAAAAGGCCUAUCGACUGUUUCCAAUCAAAUCAACAAUAUAUUUGAACAAUAAAAGUUCCACUGAGCUCCUGUUUGACUGGUAAUGAAAACACCUGUGAAACCAUGGAAGGAAACUAUAUUUCUUGGUUGUGUCCUCGUCAUUUCUAUUCUAAGAAUACCAGCUUCUUCAAUGUUCAAAUUACUGGUCGAAGAUGUGGACUCAUGGCAAGUGUUACACUGCUCUUGUAUUUUCCGUAUAGUACUUGUGUCCUACAGAUAUGGCAUCGAUGUUGGAUGUGUCUCAACAUUAGAUCCUUGGAUCGUCUAAUUUCUAAGAUGUUCUGGAUAAAAAGAAGCUCACAUUUGCUAAAAAAUAAAUAAUUCUACUCGUGCACAUGAAAGAAAUAUAGCAACUUGAUACCUUUUCUUAAUCUCAUUUGAUAUCACGUACAAUUCUAGCUAAGUUGGAACCAACGCAAUGACAUACAAUACCAAUAUGUGUUCAGGGUAUGUCCCCAAUUGCCAUAUUCACACCCAACUUUUGAAAACACGUCACUUUACCACAAUUUCUUAAGAUUUAACUUCAGUCAGAUCUGACGCUUGGACACAAGCCAGCACUUGAUACUCCUAACUGACCCUACUUAACAGCGACAAUGGCUCAUUCCACAUUCUUUGUUUUAAAAAUGAUCAUACCCCGAAAUACUGAAUAUAAUGAAUAAAGAUUUACAUCCAAACUUGAAAACAAGAAGAAACAAAUGAAAAAUAAAGAA